AAUACUCAGUGGUGCACAAUAAAAUAUAAAAUGCACAAUAUAAAACAUUUGUUAUUAAUUCACAGUUCACAGUUCAAAUAUUUCACAAUCACAUUUCAAAUUUCAAAUAACAUUUAUCACAAAUCACAAUUUGAAUAUUUUAAAAUUUUUAAAACUUAGUUUAAUACAAUUUGAUCAAACAAUUUAAUAAUCCCAGUGUUGUCAAUCACUAACACAACUUAGGCCAUGACAUAAAAUUUCUGAACAUGCCGUGUGUAUAUCACGAUAAGGCAAACUCACCCCACUAAUCG
This 290-nucleotide unclassified non-coding RNA is filed under the name Hevea brasiliensis (rubber tree). The record is from RNAcentral. Lineage: Eukaryota; Viridiplantae; Streptophyta; Magnoliopsida; Malpighiales; Euphorbiaceae.